CAAGGCACCUCCAGAAUGUUGUCUCCUCUAGGCAGCGCCUCAUCGACCUCCUUGCCUGAAGCAGUGCUGCCUCACCUCUACUUCCUUGCCCGAGUAGUGCCAUGUAGGUCCUUUGCUUCAUCGCCAGAGCAGCACCACAUCCUCUGCUUUUUAAUCAACGGCAAUUAUAGUGAAACUGGUCAAGAAUGGACAAGAGUUGGAUGGAUAAAGCUAGAAACACACAAGCAUAUAUUGACGGGGAUAUCGACAUGAAGAUGGACAUCAAGGUGGAUGUGGACAUGAAGGGGAAUAUGGGGGUGGAUAUGAAGCAUGUGAGCUUUUGUUCUUCAGAUUGAAUUUAUCAUGGCUGGUUGCUUAAAAAGCUUUCUUUCUAUCCUAUCCUGUGUAUGCAGUUGGAAGUGGACAAGCCCAUGGCGAAAGCAGGAAUGCAACCACAAGCAAGCUGAGGAGGUUUCACUAUAGAUGUUGACGGAGAUUAGGAAGAUCUUGAAGCCGCUGAUGAUUUGGAAAACCUAUGAUUAAAUUGCUGAGUGAUUAUGUAAUAUGCUAUGUUUGUUGAACCUGGACACUUGCUGUCUUGCUCUGCUCAUUUGCUGGUUAAGCCACUAUAUGCUCAUUUUGGUUGUGUGGCACCCCCAUAAACAUAUGUACUUUCUCCUUUUGUGGCAAUACUUCAGUUUGGUUGUGGCACAUUUAACAUGUAUGUAAUGUACCUUUUGUGGCAGAACCUCCUUAUA
Molecule: long non-coding RNA, 737 nt
Organism: Triticum aestivum (bread wheat)
Lineage: Eukaryota; Viridiplantae; Streptophyta; Magnoliopsida; Poales; Poaceae
Exons: 3
Source: RefSeq, a predicted model, not a curated record